Molecule: long non-coding RNA, 2554 nt
Filed under: Salmo salar (Atlantic salmon)
Lineage: Eukaryota; Metazoa; Chordata; Actinopteri; Salmoniformes; Salmonidae
Description: lncRNA (ENSSSAG00000093660.1)
Source: RNAcentral
GUCCAUGUGGGAACACCACGAUAAGCUGCCUUUGGUUCAACGACUCUCAUUGUUAGGGCGGAGACAAGACCAUCUCGUCAUUAUAUACAGUAUCUCUGGUAAAGUUGUUUUUUUUCCCCCCGUGACUUGACUCGUUGAAUUUGUAAAUUCAUUUGGACAGCUUAAAUUUUAGACACAGCAAAAAAUAAAACACAUUUCGAGUAUUUUGUUUUUGAAGAUAUAAAGGACCGAUCACAGUUAUGAGGCUAUACGCGUUGCACUUUACAAGAAUGUAUUUAUCGUGUGUGUGUGUUCGUGAUUUGUGUGUCUAUCUGUGUCUGUAUCUCAUCUCGGGGAUGGAGGGGGAGAGUCCUUGAAUAGCUUGCUGAUAUCAAUGUCAGAGUCUUUCAUAUGAGGAUGGAUGUCCAUAUCGAUGCCACUGUCCUUACACUGCUGGAGCAGAGUUCUGAUGUUACUCUCAGAGAGACGGAGCCCUAGGAUAAUUCCUCAGGACUACCUGGCUUGAUGACUCCUGGCUGUCCCCAGUCCACCUGGCUGUGCUGCUGCUCCAGUUUCAACUGUUCUGCCUGUGGCUAGGGAACCCUGACCUGUUCACCGGACGUGCUACCUUGUCCCGGACCUGCUGUUUUCUACUCUCUCUCUCUCUACCGCACCUUCUGUCUCGACCUCUUAAUGCUCGGCUAUGAAAAGCCAACUGACAUUUACUCCUGAGGUACUAACCUGUUGCACCCUCUACAACCACUGUGAUCAUCUUGAAGAACAAUCUGGCCUUAAAUGGCCAUGUACUCUUAUAAGCUCCACCUCUCACAGCCAGAAGAGGACUUGUCACCCCUCAGAGCCUGGUUCCUCUCUAGGUUUCUUCCUAGGUUCCUGCCUUUCUAGGGAGUUUUUCCUAGCCACCAUGCUUUUACAUCUGCAUUGCUUGCUGUUUGGGGUUUAGGCUGGGUUUCUGUAUAGCACUUUGUGACAUCUGCUGAUUUAAAAAGGGCUUUAUAAAUACAUUUGAUUGAUUGAUUGAUUGAUUGAUUGUAGCGUCAUACCAAGAUUUGAGUCUGUAAUCGCUGCCAAAGGUGCUUUCCUGGAUAUUACGAAAGGUGUCCCGAAGGGGUCGUACUUUUUACUGUUAACAUUAAUAACAAUAUCGACUUGUCUGUAAAAAUGUUUUACCUGCACUUGUAUGCCGAUGAUACUGUUGUGUAUGCUAUUGCCCCCACAGUUGACCAGGCUCUAUCUGAACUACAGUCUGCCUUCAUUGUAUUACAGAAACACUUUAUUGACAUGAAAUUAGUACUGAAUGCAGGUAGAACAAAGUAUAUUUUGUUCAAUAAAGCGCAUAAAAAUUGUAUUGGUGGUAGCCAUAUUGAUCGUGUCCGUGCUUUUAAAUAUCCGGGCAUCUGGAUAGAUGAAAAUCUGUCCUUUGAAAAGCAUAUUGAUGAGUUAAGAAGCUGAGAAUACAAAUGGCCUUCUUCUAUAGAAAUAGGUCCUGCCCCUCGCUAAAUAGUAAAAUGCAGAUUAUUCAGUCGACGUUCAUAUCGGUCCAAGACUAUCAUCUAAAUGAAUGCACCUGCCACUUCAUUAAAGCCAUUAGAUGUAGUUUAUCAUAGUGCACUGCGCUUUAUUACAGGUGACAAUUUUAGUACUCAUCACAACAUUCUCUUGCAGAAAGUUGGUUGGCCCUCUUUGAUGUCACGUAGGUUGAUACAUUACUAUGUUUUCAUUUGUGAAGCCCUUUUACAAAAAGUUCCACUGUACCUAACAUCAUUACUAAACUUUAGACAUACGACUUACCACACCUGGUCUCAGGUAUAGUUAACUCUGGAAAUUAUUUUGGUCUCCACUGAGUUAGAUAAAUCAGCUUUUAGUUUUCUUGCACCUUAUUUGUGGAACAAUCGUUGACAUGUUCUUAAAUUUGAUGUUCUCAUGCAUCUAGGGAAAUUCAGAAAGCUGAUUGAGAACUUUAUUAAUGAUGAAUGUGUUUUUUUUAUGAUCGUGUUUUUCUUUCGGCUUGCAUUUUGUAUUUAUAUUUUGAAGUGUGUAUUUUCUGUAAUUUAUGUAAUUCAGGGCUAAUCUGUAAAGGAGACCUUGGUAUGACCUCAGUAUGACUCCCUGAUCAAAUAAAGGUUAAAAAAUAAAAAUUUACUUAACAUCAAAUUUCCAUAAUUUCUAUCCCAUGUGAUCAAAGGUGUGAUCAUUGAAGAUACAGUGCAUUUGAAAAGUAUUCAGACCCCUUCACUUUUUCCACAUUUUGUUACGUUGCAACCUUAAAUAUUUCCCCCCCCUUCAAGCUACACACAACACCCCAUAAUGACAGAGCUAAAACAGGUUUUUAGAAUUUUUGGAAAUUUAUAAAACAAAACAAAACUGAAAUAUUACAUUUAUAUAAGUAUUCAGACCCUUUACUCAGUACUGUGUUGAAGCACCUUUGGCAGCAAUUACAACCUUGAGUCUUCUUGGGUAUGACACUACAAGCUUGGCACACCUGUAUUUGGGGAGUUUCUCCCAUUCUUCUCUGCAAAUCCUCUCAAGCUCCGUCAGGUUGGAUGGGAACCUUCAC